CCUAGUAACUGCGAGUGAAGCGGGAAAAGCUCAAAUUUAAAAUCUGGCGCAAGCCCGAGUUGUAACCUAGAGAAGUGUUUUCGGCCGUUGUACUUGGACAAGUCCCUUGGAACAGGGCGUCAUAGAGGGUGAGAAUCCCGUGCUUGCCAAGCUCACAAUGUCUAUGCGAUACGCUUUCGAAGAGUCGAGUUGUUUGGGAAUGCAGCUCAAAUUGGGUGGUAAAUUCCAUCUAAAGCUAAAUAUUGGCGAGAGACCGAUAGCGAACAAGUACCGUGAGGGAAAGAUGAAAAGAACUUUGGACAGAGAGUUAAACAGUACGUGAAAUUGCUGAAAGGGAAGCGCUUGAAGUCAGUCGCGUCGGCAGGGACUCAGCCUUAACCGGUGCAUUUCCUUGUCGACGGGCCAACAUCGAUUUCGACCGUGGGAGAAGGGCUUGAGGAAAGUGGCAGCUUCGGUUGUGUUAUAGCCUCCUGUCGUAUGCCACGGUCGGGAUCGAGGACCGCGGCUUUUGCCUAGGAUGUUGGCGUAAUGGCUUUAAGCGACCCGUCUUGAAACACGGACCAAGGAGUCUAACAUGUCUGCGAGUGUUCGGGUGUCAAACCCGUGCGCGCAAUGAAAGUAAACGUAGGUGGGAGGCUUCGGCCGCACCAUCGACCGAUCCGGAUCUUUUGGGAUGGAUUUGAGUAAGAGCAUAUAUGUUGGGACCCGAAAGAUGGUGAACUAUGCCUGAAUAGGGCGAAGCCAGAGGAAACUCUGGUGGAGGCUCGUAGCGAUUCUGACGUGCAAAUCGAUCGUCAAAUUUGGGUAUAGGGGCGAAAGACUAAUCGAACCAUCUAGUAGCUGGU
This 845-nucleotide ribosomal RNA is filed under the name Dacrymyces corticioides. Its description in RNAcentral is "partial large subunit ribosomal RNA". It matches the Rfam family "Eukaryotic large subunit ribosomal RNA", at positions 79 to 955 of the family's 3401-position model. The record is from RNAcentral. Lineage: Eukaryota; Fungi; Basidiomycota; Dacrymycetes; Dacrymycetales; Dacrymycetaceae.